This 2096-nucleotide long non-coding RNA is filed under the name Homo sapiens (human). RNAcentral describes it as "non-protein coding lnc-NKX3-2-3:1". Lineage: Eukaryota; Metazoa; Chordata; Mammalia; Primates; Hominidae. The record is from RNAcentral.
UUUCAGAUUUUACCAUGGAAGAUUUAGGUCAGGUAUUAUUUCCUGACAACAAGAGUUGUUAAAUCAAUACCUACAUACAUUACCAAGAGAAUUAUCUUUUCCAAAGGUCUUUAAAAAUGUAGUACAUUUUUUUUUCUCUGUAAUUGUUUAGGAAGCAGUGCUUCCUGAAAGACCAAACCAAGAUUUUUGCAUUAUGUGGCUUUGCACACUAGAUGAGUAUUUAAUAAGUUCAAGCUUAAUUUAAAACCAUGAUGACACAGGUGUGAAUGUCAUUUCUCUGAGGAGUUAAAAAUACAGGCAUUGUCAUACUAUCAUACACUCUGGAAAAUGGUAUUACAUAUCAUAAAAUGUUAUGGCUUGGGUAGAAAUUGUAGUUUGCUUUUUUAAAAGCUUUAGUUAAAUUUUGCUCAUUUGUUUUGCAAAUGAUUCUUUUUAAUUGAGUGAAUCAGAUGCUUUUCAGUUCAUUGAAAAUCCCCCUUUGACAAAUCAUGUUUUGAUGAGCUUACGUUCUGUUUCUGGGUUCAGCUUCUCAUUUUAGUUGUCAUACAAAGCGUUGGCUUAUAUUAUGGUUAAGUAUGUGCUUUAUUGGAGGUUUUGCAUUACCUUAUGAGAAAUUAUAGAGUGUUUGUGGGAGAGGCGUUAUGAUUUGUUUUAAUUUUUUUCAGGAUAUAAUCUAACUACCACUAGGGAUAAUGUGUAGUGGUACAUAAUUAUAUACAUUAUGUUAUAUGUAUGCUAUCCUGUGAGGCAUCCAUCAUUGGUCACUGUCAAAGACAGGCUGUUAGAGUAGAUGGGCUAUUGGACUGGACUGGUGGUGGCAUGCCCAUGUUUUAAAAACAAAUAUUUGUACAAGUUAUUUGAAUUUAUGCAAGAAAUUAAUACAGUGUUAUGUUGGAGAUUUAAUAGCAUAAAAGACAAGAGGUUUUUUUUUUUCUUUUUUCUUUUUUUACUUUUGGCAUAGCUAUAACCCCUUUGUAUGUAUUUAUAAUACACUCUUUCAGUAUGAGAUUAUAUAUUAGUGUAUGCAGUCACACAGAAUGUUAUAUAUGUAAGAUAAAGAGAUUAUAGAUAAAUAUUUUCCUGAAUAUUAUUUACUACAUAAUCUGUCACUGGCCCAAUUUCAUGUGAUCAUGUAAUGAAAGAUCCUUCUGCAGUUAAGCCUAUUAGGGCUUUAACCCUAAGUCUCCUGAAUAUAUUUUAAUUUCUAUUUCCAAAUUAAUGUUAUAUUGGUAUGGUAUAAUAGUAUGUACUUAUUUUCUUUUGGGAGGGAUAUAAUUAUAUUAAAAGGCAAUACAAUUAACAAAGAUUUUUCACACUGGUUAAAGGCAAAGCAAGAGAUGUGAUGGAAAGACAUGUGAAGCUGGGUUAUUAUACUCAUUACAUAAACAUAGUGAUCUUCUUCCUAAAUGUGGUUUUAAAAUUUAUCCUUGUGUCCCUUUCUUUACAACUUAGAUAGAAUGCAUAUGUUGAAAAGAAAUGUGUAGGCUGUGGAAAUACUGGUAGCAGUAGCCAGCUUUUAGUUAAAGUUAGUAGAAGGAGGGAGAGAAAAAGAGAGGGUGAAUACACAUUUCCGUACAAGUUACAGGAUUAUUUGCUUUUUAUUAAAAUAUAUUAAACCUUCAGAAAUUUGGGCUGAGGAUAGAGGAUAUUCUGAUUAUGGACUUAUUUUUAUUAAAAGUUAAAUUUUAUGGUUAACUAUCCAGAGUAACUAGAGUAGGUUAAUGAAAUGGCAAAUAGAGGAAGAGAUUUCUUUUAAUGAAAUGAAAGAAUGGCAACUAGUACGUUAACUAUUUCAGUAUAUAAUUCUUAAAAAUGUACAGUUAUUAAAAUGAAUUAUUCCGUGUUCUAUUUUUAAAGGCUAUCAGAUGCUAAUUAGUGUUAUUUUGUUUUACUAUUUAAGUAUUAAAUGAAAUAAUGAGGUCAUAGAGCUUUGGAUUUAGACAGACUGCUUACAAGCCCAAUUUCUUCAUUCAAGAGCAGUGUGACAUCAUACAAGUUACUUUACGUUUUUAUGCCUCAGUUUCCUGCAUCUGGAAAUCAGGGUAAUAGUUUAUGUUGGAUAAAGCUGAUUUAAAGAUUAAAUGAGAUAUUGUGUG